RNAcentral lists this ribosomal RNA (460 nucleotides) under uncultured bacterium. RNAcentral describes it as "partial 16S ribosomal RNA". It matches the Rfam family "Bacterial small subunit ribosomal RNA", at positions 338 to 795 of the family's 1533-position model. The record is from RNAcentral.
CCUACGGGAGGCAGCAGUGAGGAAUAUUGGUCAAUGGCCGUAAGGCUGAACCAGCCAAGUAGCGUGAGGGAAGACUGCCCUAUGGGUUGUAAACCUCUUUUAUGCGGGGAUAAAGGUGUCCACGUGUGGAUGUUUGCAGGUACCGCAUGAAUAAGGACCGGCUAAUUCCGUGCCAGCAGCCGCGGUAAUACGGAAGGUCCGGGCGUUAUCCGGAUUUAUUGGGUUUAAAGGGAGCGUAGGCCGGUCUUUAAGCGUGCCGUGAAAUUUUGUGGCUCAACCAUGGGAGUGCGGUGCGAACUGGAGAGCGUGAGUGCGCGGAAGGCAGGCGGAAUGCGUGGUGUAGCGGUGAAAUGCUUAGAGAUCGCGAAGAAACCCGAUUGCGAAGGCAGCGUGCCGGAGCGAGACUGACGCGGAAGCACGAAAGCGUGGGUAUCGAACAGGAUUAGAGACCAUGGUAGUC